AGUGAACGCUGGCGGUAGGCCUAACACAUGCAAGUUGAACGGCAGCACAGUAAGAGCUUGCUCUUACGGGUGGCGAGUGGCGGACGGGUGAGGAAUACAUCGGAAUCUACUUUUUCGUGGGGGAUAACGUAGGGAAACUUACGCUAAUACCGCAUACGACCUACGGGUGAAAGCAGGGGAUCUUCGGACCUUGCGCGAUUGAAUGAGCCGAUGUCGGAUUAGCUAGUUGGCGGGGUAAAGGCCCACCAAGGCGACGAUCCGUAGCUGGUCUGAGAGGAUGAUCAGCCACACUGGAACUGAGACACGGUCCAGACUCCUACGGGAGGCAGCAGUGGGGAAUAUUGGACAAUGGGCGCAAGCCUGAUCCAGCCAGACCGCGUGGGUGAAGAAGGCCUUCGGGUUGUAAAGCCCUUUUGUUGGGAAAGAAAAGCAGCAGGUUAAUACCCCGCUGUUCUGACGGUACCCAAAGAAUAAGCACCGGCUAACUUCGUG
Molecule: ribosomal RNA, 492 nt
Filed under: uncultured bacterium
Lineage: Bacteria
Description: partial 16S ribosomal RNA
Rfam family: Bacterial small subunit ribosomal RNA
Source: RNAcentral